Molecule: non-coding RNA, 73 nt
Organism: Bos taurus (domestic cattle)
Lineage: Eukaryota; Metazoa; Chordata; Mammalia; Artiodactyla; Bovidae
Source: Rfam
UCCCUGGUGGCUCAGUGGUGAGGACUCCAUGCUUCCAAAGCAGGAGACACAGGUUCAAUACCUGACUGGGGAA